GGGGGCGAAAAGGUUUCGACUGAUCUAGGAAACCGGUAGCGGCAUGCAGAGGUUGAGAGGAGGCCUCUUCCCGAAAGGGACCCUGAGCUUGUCGAAGGGUAAAACACCUCUCACACCAAGUAACUGCAGACGAGCAGUUCGCACUAGCUGCUUAAGCAGCUACGUCCACGGGUCCGGCCUGCGGGGCCCGGAUGGACGACCGGAGCAGGCUGGCCUCGAACCCGAGCCACCGGGGCAAGAGGCGAGAUCGUCUUCGUGGAGGCUAGUUCUCCGUAGGUCCUGUCCGCCGGAGUUGCGGAGAGCGAAUGAAAAAGACGGACUAAGCAUGUAGAGGCUUCCGGUGACAUAUUUCAGGACGCGGGUUCGAUUCCCGCCGCCUCCACCA
Molecule: small RNA, 385 nt
Filed under: Candidatus Tritonobacter lacicola
Lineage: Bacteria; Pseudomonadati; Candidatus Auribacterota; Candidatus Tritonobacteria; Candidatus Tritonobacterales; Candidatus Tritonobacteraceae
Description: transfer-messenger RNA
Rfam family: transfer-messenger RNA
About the family: Bacterial tmRNA, also known as 10Sa RNA or SsrA, is named for its dual tRNA and mRNA-like properties. Its role is to liberate the mRNA from a stalled ribosome.
Source: RNAcentral